GACGAACCGUGCGAACGUUGUUCGGAAUCACUGGGCUUAAAGGGCGCGUAGGCGGACUGCCAAGUCCGGGGUGAAAUCGUUCGGCUCAACCGGACAAGUGCCCCGGAUACUGGCGGUCUGGAGGGAGGUAGGGGCAGCUGGAACUUCCGGUGGAGCGGUGAAAUGCGUUGAUAUCGGAAGGAACGCCGGUGGCGAAAGCGAGCUGCUGGACCUCUUCUGACGCUGAGGCGCGAAAGCUAGGGGAGCAAACGGG
Molecule: ribosomal RNA, 253 nt
Filed under: uncultured bacterium
Lineage: Bacteria
Description: partial 16S ribosomal RNA
Rfam family: Bacterial small subunit ribosomal RNA
Source: RNAcentral